GGUACCGUCAAUUAAUAUAUCUAUUUGAUAUACUACCUUUCGUCCCUCCUAACAGAGGUUUACAAUCCGAAGACCUUCUUCCCUCACGCGGCGUUGCUGCGUCAACCUUUCGGCCAUUGCGCAAUAUUCCUCA
This 133-nucleotide ribosomal RNA is filed under the name uncultured bacterium. RNAcentral's name for it is "partial 16S ribosomal RNA". The record is from RNAcentral.